UACGUAGGGUGCGAGCGUUGUCCGGAAUUAUUGGGCGUAAAGAGCUCGUAGGUGGUUUGUCGCGUUUGUCGUGAAAACUCACAGCUCAACUGUGGGCGUGCGGGCGAUACGGGCAGACUGGAGUACUGCAGGGGAGACUGGAAUUCCUGGUGUAGCGGUGGAAUGCGCAGAUAUCAGGAGGAACACCGGUGGCGAAGGCGACUUUCUGGGACAUUCCUGACGCUGAGGAGCGAAAGCGUGGGGAGCAAACGGG
Molecule: ribosomal RNA, 253 nt
Filed under: uncultured bacterium
Lineage: Bacteria
Description: partial 16S ribosomal RNA
Rfam family: Bacterial small subunit ribosomal RNA
Source: RNAcentral